Molecule: ribosomal RNA, 351 nt
Filed under: uncultured bacterium
Lineage: Bacteria
Description: partial 16S ribosomal RNA
Rfam family: Bacterial small subunit ribosomal RNA
Source: RNAcentral
CCUACGGGUGGCAGCAGUAGGGAAUAUUGCUCAAUGGGCGAAACCCUGAAGCAGCAACGCCGCGUGGAGGAUGACUGUCUUCGGAUUGUAAACUCCUUUUGUUCGAGAAGAUAAUGACGGUAUCUAACGAAUAAGCACCGGCUAACUACGUGCCAGCAGCCGCUGUACUACGGCGGGUGCAAGCGUUACUCGGAAUUAUUGGGGGUAAAGCGCGCGUAGGCGGGAUAGCAAGUCAGAUGUGAAAUCCUAUGGCUUAACCAUAGAAUCGCAGUUGAAACUGUUAUUCUAGAGUAUGGGAGAGGUAGGUGGAAUUCUUGGUGUAGGGGUAAAAUCCGUAGAGAUCACGAGGAA